This 73-nucleotide transfer RNA is filed under the name Hemitrygon bennettii (frilltailed stingray). RNAcentral's name for it is "tRNA-Thr". It matches the Rfam family "tRNA". Rfam says of the family: Transfer RNA (tRNA) molecules are approximately 80 nucleotides in length. Their secondary structure includes four short double-helical elements and three loops (D, anti-codon, and T loops). The record is from RNAcentral. RNAcentral also lists the same sequence under 2 other names. Lineage: Eukaryota; Metazoa; Chordata; Chondrichthyes; Myliobatiformes; Dasyatidae.
GCCCUAGUAGCCCAGUAUUUAAGGCAUCGGUCUUGUAAACCGAAGAGCAGAGGUGAAAUUCCUCUCUAGAGCA